Long non-coding RNA from Lactuca sativa (garden lettuce), 1971 nucleotides. RefSeq lists it as uncharacterized. The record is from RefSeq and is a predicted model, not a curated record. NCBI's taxonomy places the organism in Eukaryota, Viridiplantae, Streptophyta, Magnoliopsida, Asterales, Asteraceae.
ACUGUUCUGGGGCGGAUCUCCUUGAAUACAACGUCACCGUUCCUCCGAUACUUACCCUUUUACACUGACUGGCGUCUUGCUUCCUUCUUCAAAGAACCCAACGAUUGAUCCUGUUUCUUCCAAUCGCCUUUUGAUUCAUCCUUCCAGAUCCUCACUAUUCCACUAAAUUCUUUACACCAUGCGUUUUUUCUUCACCCACCGUCUUCACCGUUCAUCUCUUUGAUUCAUCGGAUUUCGUCGGCCUACAACAACUUCAUCGACUUAACACAGGAUAAUGCCUCCGGCAAAAGCCCCUGUUAAGUUAUUACCGGAGACUAUAAACCUGAUUCAGGUCCUUCCCAAGAACAUGCUUUCGGGCCAGGUGUGUGUAUGUGUUGAUUCUAUUACCGUGAUUCCAAUUUGAUACAGUUUCGAUGAAGACAAGAUUUUCCGAUCAGAAAUAAACGUCCGAUUCUUCAGUCAUUUAAUGUAUUUCAGACCCCGGAUUGAGUUUACUUAUGAUCUGGAACAAGAUGAUGAAUAGAAGAAUUUUGUUACCUCCCAAUAGAAGAAGCUAUUGCUUUAAUGCUAAAAGCACAUCUUUCUCACAUGUAAAUAGGAACAAGAAAUGGCUGUGACAUGAUGUUUUUUGGAGCUCCGGUGAAGCUGGGGCUAAAGAUUUCUAGGGUUCAGACCAUGUUCAAGAUAACCAUCAAGCCUCUGAGUCUCUUGUUUGGAUGAGGACAACUACUGAUCAAGGGCUUAUAUGGAUGGUAAUGAUGAGUCCAAAAAUGAAAUUAGUCAACCUGUCCACCAGACUACUCUCUAUCAGACCUCUCUUUAUAUAAACAUAGCACUCAUACCUAAUUAUUAACAACUCCAUCCCACAUAUCAGCUCUCUCAAUUCCUUGAACCGGAGAGUGAACUUUGGGCACAACCUUUAUCAAUUUCCCUUUUGCACUCAAUUCUCAUCUUCUCUGGUAAAUUUCAAAAAGUUUCAAUUUUCGUUUAUGUAUCUCAAUACAUAACAUUGAAGAGUCGGAUUAAGGAACUAGGUUGCCUAUUUCCCAUGAAACCAACCAUUUUCCCCACCAAUUUCUGUUUUUCUUCUAAUUUUUGACACAAUCAAAGGAAUCGGAUUAUAGAUUCCGUUAUGCAGCGUGCUAAAGGUAAUGCUUUUCGUGUUCCAUAGUUUCUUAUCAUGAUUAUUACCAAUUUAUAACUUUAUAUAUAUUGUUGGCAUUGCUAAACCGAUUGAUCCAAAAUCAAUGAAUGAUUGUCAUGUAUCAGAUCAACUCUGAUAAUGAUGGUGAAAUACGUUACUUUUCUUAUGUUGAAGCUAUAGUAAAAUCUUAGGACCUUAAUUGUUUUUUUCCCGCUUAUGUUCGUUAAUAGUCCAUGUGUUGUUUUAGAUACAUGAAAUGGACUUGACUCAUGAUCAAGAGUCGCUUCUUAACAAGUGAAGGUAAUGGUUUUGGUGUUCUAUUAUUGCGAAUCUGCAUUUUUAUAUAUUCUUAGGGUUUUUUGUUGUUAUAAUUAUAUAUAGUUAAUAGGUAUCAAAAUGAGGGUACUAGUAGGAUGAGUAAGACUGGAAGAAGUUUUCAAUGAUCCAUGCAGGGAGCACUAACUAUGUUUUAUGUUUGUCAUUUAUAGCAUUGCAUCAAGAAAGCUAAUGUAUAAUUUUGAUGGAAGUUGCAGAUUAAUUCUUUUUAGAAGGAAAUUUAUUACAUAAUAGUUGUGUUUUACUUGCAAGAUCAGUAUCAGUAGGGGGGAGAGAGGAUGGUCAUUUAUGAUAAUUGCCCAGGAUCAUCACUUUGAUGGUGUAAAUCAGGCGAUUAUUAUCAAGUUUGCAACUUUCAAUUUUGUAUCAUUUUCUGUGACAACCCAAAGUUUAUUCCGUUACAUUACCCCGUUACCGUUAACAGAAUAUUCCAUUUUAUAAAAGUUCCGUUAAUUUGAGGUCGUAAAAUAAAUAAACGUUUUAUUUAUUUA